CCAAGGAUUUUCCUUUUUGUGAUGAGAAAGAUAAAAUACUUCAAAGUCAAGAGGAAGAUUUGUAAAGUUAGUCUUCCUGGAAAUGCAUGUCCAGGGAUCUGUGGAAUUGUUCCAGGAGUAGCUCAGCUGGCUCUGGCUGGUGCAGACCCCGCACAGUUUGACGUAGGGGGCAGAGGGAGAAAUGAGACAGAAUUGCUCUGCUAACCCAGCAGUUAUUCACCUGUUACGUGGAACUUCCCAUCAUGUAGGUGUGGGAAAUUAUGUUGUCAUGUACCCCUCUCUUUAUUUUCAUCACCAACUUCAUGUCAGCUUCAGCUUUAGUCUUCAUCAGUAAUUUGUGUUUGAAAUCAUUCCCACUAAAGUCUUCAGGAGCGUUCCUCUCGACACCGGAAAUCCUGCCUCAUCUGGUUUGUGUCAGUCAAACUAUUGCUGAAGAAAAUCAUGGCUUUAACUACCAGAGAAAUUGACUUUAUAAUUUACUCCAAUGAAAUCUGAAAG
Poecile atricapillus (Black-capped chickadee) is the source of this 498-nucleotide long non-coding RNA. RefSeq lists it as uncharacterized. The record is from RefSeq and is a predicted model, not a curated record. NCBI's taxonomy places the organism in Eukaryota, Metazoa, Chordata, Aves, Passeriformes, Paridae. The transcript has 3 exons.